Molecule: ribosomal RNA, 460 nt
Filed under: Parvimonas micra
Lineage: Bacteria; Bacillati; Bacillota; Tissierellia; Tissierellales; Peptoniphilaceae
Description: bacterial SSU rRNA
Rfam family: Bacterial small subunit ribosomal RNA
Source: RNAcentral
GACGAACGCUGGCGGCGUGCUUAACACAUGCAAGUCGAACGUGAUUUUUGUAGAAAUUCUUUCGGGAAUGGAAAUGAAAUGAAAGUGGCGAACGGGUGAGUAACACGUGAGCAACCUACCUUACACAGGGGGAUAGCCGUUGGAAACGACGAUUAAUACCGCAUGAGACCACAGAAUCGCAUGAUAUAGGGGUCAAAGAUUUAUCGGUGUAAGAAGGGCUCGCGUCUGAUUAGCUAGUUGGAAGGGUAAAGGCCUACCAAGGUGACGAUCAGUAGCCGGUCUGAGAGGAUGAACGGCCACAUUGGAACUGAGACACGGUCCAAACUCCUACGGGAGGCAGCAGUGGGGAAUAUUGCACAAUGGGGGGAACCCUGAUGCAGCGACGCCGCGUGAGCGAAGAAGGUUUUCGAAUCGUAAAGCUCUGUCCUAUGAGAAGAUAAUGACGGUAUCAUAGGAGGAG